AUCACUUCUUGGCCUUUUGGUUAGACCAAGUGCAGUAUCUGUUCUUAUCAAUUUAAUAUUUGAUACAUUCUCUAUCUGAGGACAAUAUUUUAAAUGGAUUUUUGGAGCUGGGAGAUAGACAAGGAGCUUGCUCUGUCCACUCCAUACGUGGACUUGUUAUUGCAGUGCCUUCAGGGAUGGUACACUGCCC
Small nuclear RNA from Cavia porcellus (domestic guinea pig), 190 nucleotides. Its record names the gene U2. It matches the Rfam family "U2 spliceosomal RNA". From Rfam's summary of the family: U2 is a small nuclear RNA (snRNA) component of the spliceosome (involved in pre-mRNA splicing). Complementary binding between U2 snRNA (in an area lying towards the 5' end but 3' to hairpin I) and the branchpoint sequence (BPS) of the intron results the bulging out of an unpaired adenosine, on the BPS, which initiates a nucleophilic attack at the intronic 5' splice site, thus starting the first of two transesterification reactions that mediate splicing. The record is from Ensembl. NCBI's taxonomy places the organism in Eukaryota, Metazoa, Chordata, Mammalia, Rodentia, Caviidae.